CAGGACAUAGUUCAAUGCAGAACACCUCUUUUACACUGAGGAAAUACUCGUUCAAUUCGAGUUGCCCUGA
RNAcentral lists this transfer RNA (70 nucleotides) under Mycteroperca rosacea (leopard grouper). RNAcentral's name for it is "tRNA-Val". It matches the Rfam family "tRNA". From Rfam's summary of the family: Transfer RNA (tRNA) molecules are approximately 80 nucleotides in length. Their secondary structure includes four short double-helical elements and three loops (D, anti-codon, and T loops). The record is from RNAcentral. Lineage: Eukaryota; Metazoa; Chordata; Actinopteri; Perciformes; Serranidae.